CUUAACACAUGCAAGUCGAACGGGAUUUAGUAAACGGAAGCUUCGGUGGAAGAUUACUAAUGAGAGUGGCGAACGGGUGAGUAACGCGUGAGCAACCUGCCUAUGACAGUGGGAUAGCCUCGGGAAACCGGGAUUAAUACCGCAUAAAAUCGUAGAAACACAUGUUUUAACGGUCAAAGAUUUAUCGGUCAUAGAUGGGCUCGCGUCUGAUUAGCUAGUUGGUGAGAUAACAGCCCACCAAGGCGACGAUCAGUAGCCGGUCUGAGAGGAUGAACGGCCACAUUGGAACUGAGACACGGUCCAAACUCCUACGGGAGGCAGCAGUGGGGAAUAUUGCACAAUGGGGGAAACCCUGAUGCAGCGACGCCGCGUGAACGAAGAAGGUAUUCGUAUCGUAAAGUUCUGUCCUAUGGGAAGAUAAUGACAGUACCAUAGAAGAAAGCUCCGGCUAAAUACGUGCCAGCAGCCGCGGUAAUACGUAUGGAGCGAGCGUUGUCCGGAAUUAUUGGGCGUAAAGGGUACGCAGGCGGUUUAAUAAGUCGAAUGUUAAAGAUCGGGGCUCAACCCCGUAAAGCAUUGGAAACUGAUAAACUUGAGUAGUGGAGAGGAAAGUGGAAUUCCUAGUGUAGUGGUGAAAUACGUAGAUAUUAGGAGGAAUACCAGUAGCGAAGGCGACUU
This 678-nucleotide ribosomal RNA is filed under the name uncultured Eubacteriales bacterium. Its description in RNAcentral is "bacterial SSU rRNA". It matches the Rfam family "Bacterial small subunit ribosomal RNA", at positions 47 to 727 of the family's 1533-position model. Lineage: Bacteria; Bacillati; Bacillota; Clostridia; Eubacteriales. The record is from RNAcentral.